Molecule: ribosomal RNA, 491 nt
Filed under: uncultured bacterium
Lineage: Bacteria
Description: partial 16S ribosomal RNA
Rfam family: Bacterial small subunit ribosomal RNA
Source: RNAcentral
AGUGAACGCUGGCGGUAGGCCUAACACAUCCAAGCCCAACGGCAGAAAGGUAAGAGUUGGCUCUUCGGGGUGCGGGGGGGCGUACGGUGAAGGAUACCAUCGGAUCCUACUUUUUGGUGGGGGUAACCGAGGGGAAACUUCCCCUAUCACCCAUUCCGCCCACGGGGGGAAAGCGGGGGAUUUCUGAACUUUCGCGAAUUUAUCGAGCGAUUUCGGAUUUGCCUGUUGGCGGGGUAAAGGCCCAACAAGGCGACGAUACGUAGCUGGGCUGAGGGGAUGAUCAGCCACACUGGAACUGAGACACGGUCCAGACUCCUACGGGAGGCAGCAGUGGGGAAUAUUGGACAAUGGGCGCAAGCCUGAUCCAGCCAUACCGCGUGGGUGAAGAAGGCCUUCGGGUUGUAAAGCCCUUUUGUUAGGAAAGAAAAGCAGCAGGUUAAUACCCCGCUGUUCUGACGGUACCCAAAGAAUAAGCACCGGCUAACUUCGUG